CGGGGGGGCAAGCGUUGUUCGGAAUUACUGGGCGUAAAGGGCUCGUAGGCGGCCAACUAAGUCGGACGUGAAAUCCCCAGGCUCAACCUGGGAACUGCGUCCGAUACUGGAUGGCUUGAAUCCGGGAGAGGGAUGCAGAAUUCCAGGUGUAGCGGUGAAAUGCGUAGAUAUCUGGAGGAAUACCGGUGGCGAAGGCGGCAUCCUGGACCGGCAUUGACGCUGAGGAGCGAAAGCCAGGGGAGCAAACGGGAUUAGAUACCCCGGUAGUCCUGGCCCUAAACGAUGAAUGCUUGGUGUAACGGGUAUCGAUCCCUGUUGUGCCGAAGCUAACGCAUUAAGCAUUCCGCCUGGGGAGUACGGUCGCAAGGCUG
This 371-nucleotide ribosomal RNA is filed under the name uncultured organism. RNAcentral describes it as "bacterial SSU rRNA". It matches the Rfam family "Bacterial small subunit ribosomal RNA", at positions 527 to 896 of the family's 1533-position model. The record is from RNAcentral.